Molecule: ribosomal RNA, 482 nt
Filed under: uncultured bacterium
Lineage: Bacteria
Description: partial 16S ribosomal RNA
Rfam family: Bacterial small subunit ribosomal RNA
Source: RNAcentral
AUUGAACGCUGGCGGCAUGCCUUACACAUGCAAGUCGAACGGUAACGGGCCUUCGGGUGCCGACGAGUGGCGAACGGGUGAGUAAUACAUCGGAACGUGCCCGAUCGUGGGGGAUAACGAGGCGAAAGCUUUGCUAAUACCGCAUACGAUCUACGGAUGAAAGCAGGGGACCGCAAGGCCUUGCGCGGACGGAGCGGCCGAUGGCAGAUUAGGUAGUUGGUGGGAUAAAAGCUUACCAAGCCGACGAUCUGUAGCUGGUCUGAGAGGAUGGUCAGCCACACUGGGACUGAGACACGGCCCAGACUCCUACGGGAGGCAGCAGUGGGGAAUUUUGGACAAAGGGCGCAAGCCUGAUCCAGCCAUGCCGCGUGCAGGAUGAAGGCCUUCGGGUUGUAAACUGCUUUUGUACGGAACGAAAAGCCUUCUUUUAAUACAGGAGGGUCAUGACGGUACCGUAAGAAUAAGCACCGGCUAACUACGUG